GGCGAACCGUGCGAACGUUGUUCGGAUUCACUGGGCUUAAAGGGCGCGUAGGCGGGCGACCAAGUCAGGGGUGAAAUCUUUCGGCCCAACCGGAAAAGUGCCCCUGAUACUGGCCGCCUCGAGGGGGGUAGGGGCAUGCGGAACUUCCGGUGGAGCGGUGAAAUGCGUAGAUAUCGGAAGGAACGCCGGUGGCGAAAGCGGCGUGCUGGACCCCUUCUGACGCUGAGGCGCGAAAGCCAGGGGAGCAAACGGG
RNAcentral lists this ribosomal RNA (253 nucleotides) under uncultured bacterium. Its description in RNAcentral is "partial 16S ribosomal RNA". It matches the Rfam family "Bacterial small subunit ribosomal RNA", at positions 524 to 776 of the family's 1533-position model. The record is from RNAcentral.